This 483-nucleotide ribosomal RNA is filed under the name uncultured bacterium. RNAcentral's name for it is "bacterial SSU rRNA". It matches the Rfam family "Bacterial small subunit ribosomal RNA", at positions 30 to 507 of the family's 1533-position model. The record is from RNAcentral.
UUGAACGCUGGCGGCAUGCCUUACACAUGCAAGUCGAACGGCAGCACGGGAGCAAUCCUGGUGGCGAGUGGCGAACGGGUGAGUAAUAUAUCGGAACGUGCCCAGUCGUGGGGGAUAACGUAGCGAAAGCUACGCUAAUACCGCAUACGAUCUAUGGAUGAAAGCGGGGGAUCGCAAGACCUCGCGCGAUUGGAGCGGCCGAUAUCAGAUUAGGUAGUUGGUGAGGUAAAGGCUCACCAAGCCGACGAUCUGUAGCUGGUCUGAGAGGACGACCAGCCACACUGGGACUGAGACACGGCCCAGACUCCUACGGGAGGCAGCAGUGGGGAAUUUUGGACAAUGGGCGCAAGCCUGAUCCAGCAAUGCCGCGUGCGGGAUGAAGGCCUUCGGGUUGUAAACUGCUUUUGUACGGAACGAAACGGUGAGCUCUAAUACAGUUUGCUAAUGACGGUACCGUAAGAAUAAGCACCGGCUAACUACGUG